Molecule: transfer RNA, 77 nt
Filed under: Flavobacteriaceae bacterium
Lineage: Bacteria; Pseudomonadati; Bacteroidota; Flavobacteriia; Flavobacteriales; Flavobacteriaceae
Description: tRNA-Arg
Rfam family: tRNA
About the family: Transfer RNA (tRNA) molecules are approximately 80 nucleotides in length. Their secondary structure includes four short double-helical elements and three loops (D, anti-codon, and T loops).
Source: RNAcentral
GCGCCUGUGGCUCAACUGGAUAGAGCAUCUGACUUCGGAUCAGAGGGUUGGGGGUUCGAGUCCCUCCGGGCGCGCUA